RNAcentral lists this ribosomal RNA (450 nucleotides) under uncultured bacterium. RNAcentral's name for it is "partial 16S ribosomal RNA". It matches the Rfam family "Bacterial small subunit ribosomal RNA", at positions 338 to 795 of the family's 1533-position model. The record is from RNAcentral.
CCUACGGGCGGCUGCAGUAAGGAAUAUUGGUCAAUGGACGAAAGUCUGAACCAGCCAUGCCGCGUGGAGGAUGAAGGUCCUCUGGAUUGUAAACUUCUUUUAUAUGGGACGAAAAAAGGCCUUUCCAGGUCGUCUGACGGUACCAUAUGAAUAAGCACCGGCUAACUCCGUGCCAGCAGCCGCGGUAAUACGGAGGGUGCAGGAGUUAUCCGGAUUAACGGGUUUGUAGGUGGGUUGGUGAGGCAGGGGUGAAAUCCCCGAGCUUAACUUGGGAACUGCCAUUGAUACUAUCAGUCUUGAAUACCGUGGAGGUCAGCGGAAUAUGUCAUGUAGCGGUGAAAUGCUUAGAUAUGACAUAGAACACCAAUUGCGAAGGCAGCUGGCUAAACGAGUAUUGACACUGAGGCACGAAAGCGUGGGGAUCAAACAGGAUUAGAUACCCGAGUAGUC